UGAACAUAGCUUGUCUCUAAAUGGUAGAAUAGAAACGAACAGUCAUGAUGACAUAGCUUGACUCUAAAUGGUAGAAUAGAAACGAACAUAGCUUGUCUCUAAAUGGUAGAAUAGAAAUGAACAUAGCUGUCUCUCUGACAUGAUAGGAAAACCCAGUUAAACUGAACAAGAUGUGAUUUUUUUUCCCUGAAACGUUGCUCUUCGGGGGACUAAACAACAGAAUCUGCCCUAAACACAACCAAGUAGUUUAGUUUAAGAAGCCGUGGCAGCAGGGUAGCCUAGUGGUUAGAGUGUAGAGGCGGCAGGGUAGCCUAGUGGUUAGAGUGUAGAGGCGGCAGGGUAGCCUAGUGGUUAGAGUGUAGAGGCGGCAGGGUAGCCUAGUGGUUAGAGUGUAGAGGCGGCAGGGUAGCCUAGUGGUUAGAGUGUAGAGGCGGCAGGGUAGCCUAGUGGUUAGAGUGUAGAGGCGGCAGGGUAGCCUAGUGGUUAGAGUGUAGAGGCGGAAGGGUAGCCUAGUGGUUAGAGUGUAGAGGCGGCAGGGUAGCCUAGUGGUUAGAGUGUAGAGGCGGCAGGGUAGCCUAGUGGUUAGAGUGUAGAGGCGGCAGGGUAGCCUAGUGGUUAGAGUGGAGGGGCGGCAGGGUAGCCUAGUGGUUAGAGUGUAGAGGCGGCAGGGUAGCCUAGUGGUUAGAGUGUAGAGGCGGCAGGGUAGCCUAGUGGUUAGAGUGUAGAGGCGGCAGGGUAGCCUAGUGGUUAGAGUGUAGAGGCGGAAGGGUAGCCUAGUGGUUAGAGUGUAGAGGCGGCAGGGUAGCCUAGUGGUUAGAGUGUAGAGGUGGCAGGGUAGCCUAGUGGUUAGAGCGUAGAGGUGGCAGGGUAGCCUAGUGGUUAGAGUGUAGAGGCGGCAGGGUAGCCUAGUGGUUAGAGUGUAGAGGCGGCAGGGUAGCCUAGUGGUUAGAGUGUAGAGGCGGCAGGGUAGCCUAGUGGUUAGAGCGUUGGUGGUUAAGAGCGUUGGACUCGUAACCGAUAGUUUGCAGGUUCAAAUCCCCGAGCUGACAAGGUACAAAUCUGUCGUUCUGCCCCUGAACAAGGCAGUUAAUAAAUUCUGAUAUAAUUCUGCCAGGAAGGUAAGAGGCCACUUUGUAGUUCACAUUUAAUUGAGAAGUUUUUUUUUUUUUUGUGAAAGCAUUUCCAUCUACCAGAAGACUGUUGUCAGCAUCAUUGCUAACGGCUACACUUAGUGGUAGACAAAGGCGCACACAGACAGGGGCAUUCCUGUGCCGUUGCCUCAAAAUACUAAAAAUAAAAUUUAAAUAAUAAUAAUCACUGAGUACGGUUACACAAUACAAUUAUUGUGCAUCGUCAGGUUAAUAUAAUAGUUAUUAUUGUGCAUAGUCAGUCAGGUUAAUAUAAUAGUUAUUAUUGUGCAUAGUCAGGUUAAUAUAAUAGUUAUUAUUGUGCAUCGUCAGUCAGGUUAAUAUAAUAGUUAUUAUUGUGCAUAGUCAGGUUAAUAUAAUAGUUAUUAUUGUGCAUAGUCAGUCAGGUUAAUAUAAUAGUUAUUAUUGUGCAUCGUCAGUCAGGUUAAUAUAAUAGUUAUUAUUGUGCAUAGUCAGGUUAAUAUAAUA
Long non-coding RNA from Oncorhynchus keta (chum salmon), 1616 nucleotides. RefSeq lists it as uncharacterized. The record is from RefSeq and is a predicted model, not a curated record. The transcript has 3 exons. Lineage: Eukaryota; Metazoa; Chordata; Actinopteri; Salmoniformes; Salmonidae.